RNAcentral lists this transfer RNA (87 nucleotides) under Nitrospirae bacterium GWC2_57_13. RNAcentral's name for it is "tRNA-Leu". It matches the Rfam family "tRNA". From Rfam's summary of the family: Transfer RNA (tRNA) molecules are approximately 80 nucleotides in length. Their secondary structure includes four short double-helical elements and three loops (D, anti-codon, and T loops). Further hydrogen bonds mediate the characteristic L-shaped molecular structure. tRNAs have two regions of fundamental functional importance: the anti-codon, which is responsible for specific mRNA codon recognition, and the 3' end, to which the tRNAs corresponding amino acid is attached (by aminoacyl-tRNA synthetases). tRNAs cope with the degeneracy of the genetic code in two manners: having more than one tRNA (with a specific anti-codon) for a particular amino acid; and 'wobble' base-pairing, i.e. permitting non-standard base-pairing at the 3rd anti-codon position. The record is from RNAcentral. RNAcentral also lists the same sequence under 5 other names. Lineage: Bacteria; Pseudomonadati; Nitrospirota.
GCCGGCGUGGUGGAACUGGUAGACGCAGCGGACUCAAAAUCCGCCGGGGGCAACUCCAUGUCGGUUCGAUUCCGACCGCCGGCACCA